UUAACAGAAAUAUCUCUCAUUAGAAUGACAGUUAAUGGGAGGUAUGAAGUUUAACAGAAAUAUGUCUCAUUAGAAUGACAGCCGAUGGGAGGUAUGAAGUUUAACAGAAAUUUCUCUCAUUAGAAUGACAGCCGAUGGGAGGUAUGAAGUAAUUGGAGUUUAACAGAAAUAUCUCUCAUUAGAAUGACAGCCGAUGGGAGGUAUGAAGUAAUUGGAGUUUAACAGAAAUAUCUCUCAUUAGAAUGACAGCCGAUGGGAGGUAUGAAGUAAUUGGAGUUUAACAGAAAUAUCUCUCAUUAGAAUGACAGCCGAUGGGAGGUAUGAAGUAAUUGGAGUUUAACAGAAAUAUCUCUCAUUAGAAUGACAGCCGAUGGGAGGUAUGAAGUUUAACAGAAAUAUCUCUCAUUAGAAUGACAGCCAAUGGGAGGUAUGAAGUUUAACAGAAAUUUCUCUCAUUAGAAUGACAGCCGAUGGGAGGUAUGAAGUAAUUUGAGUUGAACAGAAAUAUCUCUCAUUAGAAUGACAGUUGAUGGGAGGU
Pecten maximus is the source of this 538-nucleotide long non-coding RNA. RefSeq lists it as uncharacterized. Lineage: Eukaryota; Metazoa; Mollusca; Bivalvia; Pectinida; Pectinidae. The transcript has 3 exons. The record is from RefSeq and is a predicted model, not a curated record.